AAAAUACUAUAAGGAGAAAUGAGCGUCCGUGAGGGAAGGUGAGCAUGCAUUGUGGCUCGGCUGGACGUGGGGAUGGCUACGAGAGGUGGUCGGUGGCCAAAGGAGGUCCCAGUGGUGGUGCGGUGGCUAGAGGAGGUGGAGCUUUGCCGUGGG
Juglans microcarpa x Juglans regia is the source of this 153-nucleotide long non-coding RNA. RefSeq lists it as uncharacterized. NCBI's taxonomy places the organism in Eukaryota, Viridiplantae, Streptophyta, Magnoliopsida, Fagales, Juglandaceae. The transcript has 3 exons. The record is from RefSeq and is a predicted model, not a curated record.